AGAACGAACGCUGGCGGCAUGCCUAACACAUGCAAGUCGAACGAAGGCUUCGGCCUUAGUGGCGCACGGGUGAGUAACGCGUGGGAACCUACCCUAUGGUUCGGAAUAACCGCGGGAAACUGCGGCUAAUACCGGAUGAGCCGGUUCGCCGGGAAAGAUUUAUCGCCAUUGGAUGGGCCCGCGUCCGAUUAGGUAGUUGGUAGGGUAACGGCCUACCAAGCCUUUGAUCCGUAGCUGGUCUGAGAGGAUGAUCAGCCACACUGGGACUGAGACACGGCCCAGACUCCUACGGGAGGCAGCAGUGGGGAAUAUUGGACAAUGGGCGCAAGCCUGAUCCAGCAAUGCCGCGUGGAUGAAGAGGUUUUCGGAUUGUAAAGUCCUUUCGACGGGGACGAUGAUGACGGUACCCGUAGAAGAGCCCCGGCUAACUUCGUGCCAGCAGCCGC
This 446-nucleotide ribosomal RNA is filed under the name uncultured bacterium. Its description in RNAcentral is "SSU rRNA". It matches the Rfam family "Bacterial small subunit ribosomal RNA", at positions 26 to 518 of the family's 1533-position model. The record is from RNAcentral.